AGCUCCGAUAGCAUAUAUUAAAGUUGUUGUAGUUAAAAAGCUUGUAGUUGGAUGUCUGGCUGUGCAUGUGGGUACACUCUUACGAGUGUGCAUCGUAGAUGUUUGGUCAUCUUUUGGGAGAGCCACAGUGGCAUUAAGUUGUUGGUAUAUGGAUCCCAAUCCUUUACUGUGAAGAAACUAUAGUGUUCAAAGCAGGCUUACAUCGUUGAAUAUAUUAGCAUGGAAUAAUAUCAUAGGACUAUUGUACUAUUUUGUUGGUUUGUGCACGAUAGCAACAACUAACAGGGACAGUUGGGGGUAUUUGUAUUCCAUUGUCAGAGGUGAAGUUAUUGGAUUUUUGGAAGACAAACUACUGUGAAAGCAUUUACCAAGGAUGUUUCCA
Molecule: ribosomal RNA, 382 nt
Filed under: uncultured eukaryote
Lineage: Eukaryota
Description: SSU rRNA
Rfam family: Eukaryotic small subunit ribosomal RNA
Source: RNAcentral